This 1055-nucleotide long non-coding RNA is filed under the name Terrapene triunguis (Three-toed box turtle). RNAcentral's name for it is "Terrapene carolina triunguis (Three-toed box turtle) lncRNA (ENSTMTG00000010546.1)". Lineage: Eukaryota; Metazoa; Chordata; Testudines; Emydidae. The record is from RNAcentral.
GUUGAGAAUUUGAAAGUAGAAGGCAGCUUGGGUGAAAGUGAUCAUGAAAUCAUAGAGUUUGCAAUUCUAAGGAAGGGUAGAAGGGAGAACAGCAAAAUAGAGACAAUGGAUUUCAGGAAGGCGGAUUUUGGUAAGCUCAGAGAGCUGAUAGGUAAGGUCCCAUGGGAAUCAAGACUGAGGGGAAAAACAACUGAGGAGAGCUGGCAGUUUUUCAAAGGGACACUAUUAAGGGCCCAAAAGCAAGCUAUUCCGCUGGUUAGGAAAGAUAGAAAAUGUGGCAAAAGACCACCUUGGCUUAACCACGAGAUCUUGCAUGAUCUAAAAAAUAAAAAGGAGUCAUAUAAAAAAUGGAAACUAGGACAGAUUACAAAGGAUGAAUAUAGGCAAACAACACAGGAAUGCAGGGGCAAGAUUAGAAAGGCAAAGGCACAAAAUGAGCUCAAACUAGCUAAGGGAAUAAAGGGGAACAAGAAGACUUUUUAUCAAUACAUUAGAAGCAAGAGGAAGACCAAAGACAGGGUAGGCCCACUGCUUAGUGAAGAGGGAGAAACAGUAACAGGAAACUUGGAAAUGGCAGAGAUGCUUAAUGACUUCUUUGUUUCGGUCUUCACCGAGAAGUCUGAAGGAAUGCCUAUCCUAGUGAAUGCUAAUGGGAAGGGGGUAGGUUUAGCAGAUAAAAUAAAAAAAGAACAAGUUAAAAAUCACUUAGAAAAGUUAGAUGCCUGCAAGUCACCAGGGCCUGAUGAAAUGCAUCCUAGAAUACUCAAGGAGCUAAUAGAGGAGGUAUCUGAGCCUCUAGCUAUUAUCUUUGGAAAAUCAUGGGAGACGGGAGAGAUUCCAGAAGACUGGAAAAGGGCAAAUAUAGUGCCCAUCUAUAAAAAGGGAAAUAAAAACAACCCAGGAAACUACAGACCAGUUAGUUUAACUUCUGUGCCAGGGAAGAUAAUGGAGCAAGUAAUUAAGGAAAUCAUCUGCAAACACUUGGAAGGUGGUAAGGUGAUAGGGAACAGCCAGCAUGGAUUUGUAAAGAACAAAUCAUGUCAAACCAAUCUGAU